RNAcentral lists this ribosomal RNA (506 nucleotides) under uncultured bacterium. RNAcentral describes it as "partial 16S ribosomal RNA". It matches the Rfam family "Bacterial small subunit ribosomal RNA", at positions 30 to 523 of the family's 1533-position model. The record is from RNAcentral.
AUUGAACGCUGGCGGCAGGCCUAACACAUGCAAGUCGAACGGUAACAGAAAGCAGCUUGCUGCUUUGCUGACGAGUGGCGGACGGGUGAGUAAUGUCUGGGAAACUGCCUGAUGGGGGGGGAUAACUACUGGAAACGGUAGCUAAUACCGCAUAACGUCGCAAGAACAAAGAGGGGGACCUUCGGGCCUCUUGCCAUCGGAUGUGCCCAGAUGGGAUUAGCUAGUAGGUGGGGUAACGGCUCACCUAGGCGACGAUCCCUAGCUGGUCUGAGAGGAGGACCAGCGACACUGGAACUGAGACACGGUCCAGACUCCUACGGGAGGCAGCAGUGGGGAAUAUUGCACAAUGGGCGCAAGCCUGAUGCAGCCAUGCCGCGUGUAUGAAGAAGGCCUUCGGGUUGUAAAGUACUUUCAGCGAGGAGGAAGGUGUUGUGGUUAAUAACCACAGCAAUUGACGUUACUCGCAGAAGAAGCACCGGCUAACUCCGUGCCAGCCGCCGCGGUAA